Molecule: long non-coding RNA, 6771 nt
Filed under: Helianthus annuus (common sunflower)
Lineage: Eukaryota; Viridiplantae; Streptophyta; Magnoliopsida; Asterales; Asteraceae
Description: sRNA HanXRQr2_Chr06g0271871
Source: RNAcentral
UCGCAGGAGAAGGGGAAAAAGGGGGUGUAAACCCUAACCACAAAAAAAAUCAUCAAUUGAAAAGGAAAUCGCGGGUUGAUUGUGUGCAUGAACCAAGAAUGAUGAUCCCUUAAGCGUUUCUCACAUCAAGAACGUGUCAAGGAGAGGUCAAGCAUAGGAGGAUAACGGGUCAAGAUAAGGCAAGGUGACAAAUACACUUAUUGGAGUACUCGAGGUAAGUGAAUUUCGAUUCACUUUUUAGUAGGUUUAAUAGAUUUUAAUACUUAUGUUUACGAAACAUCAUGAAAGAACAUGUAAUAAUCAGAAGUACAAAGCCAAUAAUGCCUCAUUAUUGAAGAAGGUUGUAUUUAAGCCGAAAGUAAAUUGGUGGGUUUAAACGGGUCGAAUUUUAUGUGCAUAUGUUGCGUAAUGUAAUGAAAUUCGUUAUGGUUAAGACCUUGGGUAAGAAUUUUUAGUCAUUAUGUAAGGGGAACAUUUCCCGGACCAUUAGGAACAAGUUUUAUAUGAUUCGGUUGUCGGUUAGUGAAUGAACGGAUUGUUUCGUGUUAGUGUAGGAAAUUUUAUAAGUAUAUGUGUAUAGGAAUCCAAAGGGCACGUGGGUUGAAUCAUAGAUUGUCUAUACUAUGUAAAGUUGUGAAUGUGACAUUCCGGCAUAAACCUACAUGUAAAAGAAGCUUGUGUAUAUAUUCGUGAUUAAUUGAUUGUGCGUAGGAAGGAACACUGGCAUGUAUGAAGGUACGCAUGUAUAUAUAUAAGUGUAUAUAUAUAUAUAUAUAUAUAUGUAUGUAUGUAUGAUAAUAAGUACGUAGGUGUGAAUGUGUGUGUGUGAAUGAAUGUUCAAUGCUUAAGACAUAUGCAUGAACGUUAUCAAAGUGUUCGAGUAUUUAUGGAUACUAAUGAUGUGCGUUGAGUUGGAAUGUAAUGUAGGUAUGGGAUCGUUGGCUUCAUGAAGAAAUGGAGCUGGAUUUGGAUAAGAGUAUUUAAGAAAGCGCUUGGACAAUUCCACGACUACUUUAUAGAAUGCUCUACGAAAUUCUAUUAUAUAGUUUAAUGUUGUAUGGUAUGUUAAUGACUAAUGGUUUGGUUGUACGUGGUGUCCACAGGUAUCGCUUGGGUUUUCUCUACAUUUAUUGAAGUGAAGCGGACUUAGUUCGAGUUGAGAGCAAGGAUUGUACGGGGUAGAAUGGUCACAUAGUGUAACUCAUAUAGGUUUUGAAGUAUUAACGUUAUAAAUCCGUUUUAAUGAAUAUAUGGCAUUUCGCAUUUGAACCUUCAUGUGUUUGAUAUGUCUAUUAAAGAACGAAAUUUUUGGGCUCUUGUUUUCUGCUGCGUCGUAUUUUAAGUUAUUACGCGUUAGUCUUACAGGGAAUUGUUCUUAUUACGAACGGGUCAUGCCCGAAUUUUGUUAAAUAAUAGUAUGAUAAUAUUACAUUUUGGAAUGUGUAAUUUGGGCGUAACAAGUUGGUAUCAGAGCCCAGGUUUGAGAGAAUCAAGUAACGGGAGGUAAAUACUUGAACUCAAACCGGUGGGCUCUCGUGACCAAGAGCCCGUACAAUCCAAGACUCGAUCGAGGCCUAAAGGCAAAAGCGAAUGUAAGUAAGUAUUAGAUUAUGUAACUGAAGGAAACUAAUAGUAUGUUAUGUGAAGGGUAAGCGCAAUUGUUGGGAGAGAUGAACUGUGAAUGCGGUCUGGGACCGGCAUCAAGGCAAGUAAUGAGGCGAAUUGACCCCAGGUACGUAAAUCUAACGUGUGGGCGUAUGAAAUGGUACAGUUAACUAAGUGAAAGAAAAAUUUUAAACAAAUUAUAAUAACGACAUGGUAAAUAAGUUUUGAAAAUGUCACACAUGCCGAAACUAAAUCCUUCGGACAUAAGGUGGCGAUUACGCGAAGACACGAAACUAGUACAUGGAAGGUGUACCUGGCCAGUACACAAGAAACGUAUGACGUUCGUGAGACCGUGAUAAUUGUUACAGGUAUGUCCGAUAGAAUUUGGUAGCGGCUAGGUGCGUGGGUGAAAUGGGUAGUAAGACUCUCGGGAGGUUGAGAGUACUAUGUAAGGGUGAAAGGUAUAAGUGAUAAGAAUGAAAUAUUGAGUCCAUAAGAAAGUAUGGAUUGACAAUGUAUGAAUGCAAUGUUUGAAUCCGCGAGACGGAUUCAAGGAAUGAAAGAUAUGAAUGCAAUGCUUGAAUCCGCGAGACGGAUUCAAGGAAUGAAAGAUAUGAAUGCAAUGCUUGAGUCCGCGAGACGGAUUCAAGGAUGAAAGAUGUGAAUGCAAUGCUUGAAUCCGCGAAACGGAUUCAAAGAAUGAAAGAUACGAAUGAUGCAAAUCCCUUGCGGAUUUGGUUAUGCUAAAGAAGGUUAUGAUAAGCUAUGCAAGUCGACCGGUUCAAGUUGAACAAGUCGAGUAAGGAUAGGGUACCAUCCGUUUAGAACGGGUGGUCGUGAAUGCAAUAAUAAAUGUAUGAAGCUCAACCCGUUAUACGGAUAGAACGAAAUAUUUAUGUUGAACACAAUUAACUCGAUGUUACCGAGUCGUAAGUGGUAUGCUUGAAUCUCAUUAUGAGAAUAUAUGCCAUUACCCAUUUAAUUGGAUACUCGAAUGCGUAAAAGAAAUGAAAGUAUAUAAGCGAAUGGAACUAAAAUAUUGGUAUUGUAAGCGAAAUAAGUAUUAUGACUAACCUUUAAAACGGGAAGGGUAAGUAUUUGCAAGAAAACACUGGAACAGUGAAGUUAUGAGGUCGUAAGCAUGUUUGAAUUAAAAAAAAAAAAAGAGUACAAACGUGUACUUCGAUACGCAUGUAUAUAAUAAGAAAUAAGUGGCAGUUGACCUUGAAAAGUCAAACUGCAGAAGCUGAGAAAUAAUUUGUUUCAAACCAAGUGAGUGCUAGAGAAGAAAGGAAAUGUGUAAAGCUGAGAAAUAAUUUGGUUUCAAACCAAGUGAGUGCUAGAGAAGAAAGGAAAUGUGUAGUGUAGUACACCAAAUGAGUUAAAGAAUUACGAAAUAAUGAUUAUGUGUUUACCCGUCAAGAACGGGUCAAACAAUGAGAAUGAUAUAUAUAUUAAGAAAUGGUCAUGUAUUGACCCGUUAUGAAUAGGUUUAACACACUAGUGCUUUAAAAAGAAUCUUGGAAGUAGUAAUAUGUAAACAAGGAGAAGUAAUAAACAUCAUGUUUAAAUGAACUUGAAUGAAAUGUGAUAAUCCCCAAUCUUAUAAUGAGUAUGGCAGAUAUCAUAGUGUGCUAAACCUAUCAAGGUCAGUGAAAGAAUGUUCAUAAGCGAAAGCUCGUCACACAGAUGAACGAGGUCAAUACGAAACAUGGUAUGGAAUGGUGACGAAGAGGACCGACUCGUUGCUGCAUGUUCAAGUACUGCACCAAGGUAGUAAGGUUAGCAAAUUAUUUAAUAUAUGAAGGUACGAUGCUUGAAUCCCUCAAACCUACGCUCUCGUGAAAGUGUGUUCGUUUCUAAGCGCCACACAAGUAAGUGAUUUAAGGAUUUCGAGCUAUGCUUUUAGAUGAAAACGGAAAUGGGUUAUGGAUAAAUUACUAUUAUAACCUGGGUUGGGACGUUAUGGGAUGUUAGGGAAGGUUUCGGGACUGCCCGAGACCAUUUCUGGUUGGAAAAAGGACCCGGGAACAAAAAAAUUUUGGUCAAACAGCGUCUGCACAGCAGAGAGCCCGUCGGCGACGGCCUUUAUGCCGUCGGCGACGGCACCCCUCCACCAGACGCGCUAACUGUCUGUCUACGGGCAAUGUUUAGCGACGGGACCUUCCCGAGCCCGUCGGCGACGCACCAUGUGCCGUCGGCGACGGGUCCCCCUUAUCUUCUUAUGCUGAAAUUGUUUGUUUAUUAGGCUAAGGUCCUUAAUUCAGUUCUAGCAUUCAUUAAACACUAAGAACACCCCAGAUUGAUGAUGAAGCUAGGAAAUUCAAGACAACUAUCGUGUUUUAAUGAUGAAUGUGUGGGAAGUUAUGUAUGCGAACGAAUGAAAUAAGUAACACAUCUAGAAUGUUUGUAAAGAAAGAUUGGGUAAGUUUAUAAAAAAAUUUACACUAUCAUUGAAAAAGUACCUCCAUAGGAAUAGGUAUGAUAUGUUUAAUAUGUACGAAUGAACGAGAUUGUAUGCGGAAAUGAAUAAAUUAAUGAUGACUAGGGAUUGGUUUUCGCAAGGAAGUUUGAAAUCUUGAUAAGUAUGAAUAAUAUAUCAGGAUGCUAGUUUCAAAUUAUGGACUAUGGGAUCUGUGAUUAGGCAAAUUCUCACAACAUGCUUAUGUAAGUCGUCCAAGGUAACUUGAAUGAGUGAGGGAACGAAGAAUAAAACUAGACGGGUUGUAGAAGAAAAGAAAGAGGUUUCGGGGACGAAACCUUCUUUAAGGGGGGUAGAUUUGUAACACCCCAAAACUCGAAUUAUUAAAUUCGUAGGAAUGUCACCAUGUGUAAUUAAAUAAAAUACAAUAACUAAGUUAUUAAACUUAGUUAAAUGCCUAAUAAACAAGUUAAGGAAUGAAACUUGUGGCAACUAUAAUGGAAUGGUAAACUUGAGGGACUUAGAUUGCCAAAAAGAAAAUAUAUUUUAUUAAAACAAAAAAAAAAUCACACACACAAGGUGUGUGUCUGCGUACGAUCGCAGGAGAAGGGGAAAAAGGGGGUGUAAACCCUAACCACAAAAAAAAUCAUCAAUUGAAAAGGAAAUCGCGGGUUGAUUGUGUGCAUGAACCAAGAAUGAUGAUCCCUUAAGCGUUUCUCACAUCAAGUAAGUCAAAUUUCAUGAUUUGGUGAUGAUUGAUGAAACGGGUUGUGUGUAAUCUGUGAUUAAAUGUGUGAUUAAACCUGAAUGUUACAUGAUAUGCUCAUAUAGAAGUUGUAUUAUGUGCAAUUUUGAUUAUAUUGAUAGUUUGAAGCAAAACCCAUUUGUAUGUCAAAAGAUGAAUGGAUAUUGUGAAACCCUAGAUGCUAAUUAGUAUGGUAUCAAUGAUUUAAACAAUGUGUUGAUGAAAUAUUGAUAAGUAAUUGAUGUUACAACCAUAUGUUCAUAGUUAGGAUGAAAGAUUGUUAUGAAUUUGAUUGAUUGUUAAUAAGUUAUGUGAAGAAUUAGUAGGAAUCAUGCUUUAAAAGCUUGUACAUAAUGUUUUUUAAAUGCGAAACCCGCCAAGUGUUUGAUAAAAUGCCUACAAAGUUUGUGUAAAAUAGUUAGUAAAUUCGUCACUUUUGACAGCCUUAGAUAGUCAUCUUGUAAAGGCCGUAUCUCAUUCGUUAUUAGGAGUUAGACAACGAGCCUUAUAUCGUUGAAAAGGUUGUUUCGCAUAUUACAUUUCAUAUUUGGCCAUAAGAGGCUGGUUAUGAGAUUAAGUGGGUCAAAACAGCAUGAAAAGUUAGUAAAUUCGUCACUUUUGACAGCCUUAGAUAGUCAUCUUGUAAAGGCCGUAUCUCAUUCGUUAUUAGGAGUUAGACAACGAGCCUUAUAUCGUUGAAAAGGUUGUUUCGCAUAUUACAUUUCAUAUUUGGUCAUAAGAGGCUGGUUAUGAGAUUUAGUGGGUCAAAACAGCAUGAAAAGUUAGUAAAUUCGUUUUGACAGCAAGCUGUUUGGAAGCAUUUCAGCUUCUGUGCUGAUUUUGUAAAAAUCAUAUAAAAUCAUAGGAAUGUCCGAUUGUUACGAUCUUUAUAUGCUUAGAAAGAUCUCUGAGUGUAGAUCAUUUCAUAUUUGAACAUGAAGAACUAAAUCAGAAGAUAAAUGGGUUAAAAUGUGUCGUGAACAGCUGCUGCGCAGAAAGUUGCUGCACAAAUUUUAGUAUAAAUAUUCAGUAAAAAUAGUUGUAUUGUUAUGCACACUUGUAUGAAUCAUGAACUACUGAUUUUAAUAAAUUAUUAGUAAGUUAUUUGAUUGUUUUAAGUGUCUAAAACACUUACCAACUAGUUUAUGCAUAUAAUUGCACCAACGGGUCGAAACGGGUUGUUGAUAGAAAAUAGUAGAAUGGAUGUGUAAAAAACCAAGGUGUUAAGAAAUGGUAUGAAAUGUUUAACAUAUGAAGCAAGUUGCCUAACUUAGAAAAGGUUAUCAUUCUAAGUAUGGAAUUUUGAAAGAAUAACGAACAUGAUGUAAAUACAUAAUUAUGCAUGCUAGAAGCUCAUGUAUCACUGUUGUGAUGAUGGAAUGAUAAAUAGUUAGAUUGAUUAGCAUUGUAGUAUUAUGAUACAUGUUGAACUCGUUAAGCGAUUGACACGUGAAUAGAAGUGUGAUUAGUGAUGCGUAUGAUUAUGUAUACUAACUAUUGAAUGGAUGUAAUGGAAUGAGAUAAUAGGAACGUGUCAAGGAGAGGUCAAGCAUAGGAGGAUAACGGGUCAAGAUAAGGCAAGGUGACAAAUACACUUAUUGGAGUACUCGAGGUAUGGGAUCGUUGGCUUCAUGAAGAAAUGGAGCUGGAUUUGGAUAAGAGUAUUUAAGAAAGCGCUUGGACAAUUCCACGACUACUUUAUAGAAUGCUCUACGAAAUUCUAUUAUAUAGUUUAAUGUUGUAUGGUAUGUUAAUGACUAAUGGUUUGGUUGUACGUGGUGUCCACAGGUAUCGCUUGGGUUUUCUCUACAUUUAUUGAAGUGAAGCGGACUUAGUUCGAGUUGAGAGCAAGGAUUGUACGGGGUAGAAUGGUCACAUAGUGUAACUCAUAUAGGUUUUGAAGUAUUAACGUUAUAAAUCCGUUUUAAUGAAUAUAUGGCAUUUCGCAUUUGAACCUUCAUGUGUUUGAUAUGUCUAUUAAAGAACGAAAUUUUUGGGC